Molecule: long non-coding RNA, 180 nt
Organism: Magnolia sinica
Lineage: Eukaryota; Viridiplantae; Streptophyta; Magnoliopsida; Magnoliales; Magnoliaceae
Exons: 2
Source: RefSeq, a predicted model, not a curated record
CACCAGUGUUUUCCUUUUCUAUGCCUUGAUUGUUUAAAAUUUUUUGGGGGGAUGAAUGGAAGUUUUAUUGAAAAGGAAAAGAAGCAAAUACAAGAAAAGAUGCAAACGAUGCAUGGUAGCAUCACAACUCUGACUACAAGCUUCUACAAGCUGAAAAAAAAAAAAAUUAAAAAUUAAAAA